This 253-nucleotide ribosomal RNA is filed under the name uncultured bacterium. Its description in RNAcentral is "partial 16S ribosomal RNA". It matches the Rfam family "Bacterial small subunit ribosomal RNA", at positions 524 to 776 of the family's 1533-position model. The record is from RNAcentral.
UACGUAGGGAGCAAGCGUUGUCCGGAAUCAUUGGGCGUAAAGCGCGCGUAGGUGGCUUCGUAAGUCCGUUGUGAAAGUCAAAGGCUCAACCUUUGAAAGCCGAUGGAUACUGCGGAGCUAGAGUACGGAAGAGGCGAGUGGAAUUCCUGGUGUAGCGGUGAAAUGCGCAGAUAUCAGGAAGAACACCAGCGGCGAAGGCGGCACUCUGGGCCGGUACUGACGCUGAGGAGCGAAAGCGUGGGUAGCAAACAGG